UGAGGAAUAUUGGGCAAUGCCCGCAAGGGUGACCCAGCAACGCCGCGUGGAGGAUGAAUGUCGUAAGAUUGUAAACUCCUGUUAGAGGGGAAGAAUAGUACCGGUUGGACCGGUAUAUGACUGUACCCUCAGAGAAAGCCCCGGCUAACUACGUGCCAGCAGCCGCGGUCAUACGUAGGGGGCAAGCGUUGUCCGGAUUUACUGGGUGUAAAGGGCGCGCAGGCGGGAUAAAAAGUCAGUGGUGAAAUCCUACAGCUUAACUGUAGAACUGCCUCUGAUACUUUUAUUCUUGAGUUCGGGAGAGAGAGACGGAAUUCCAGGUGUAGUGGUGAAAUACGUAGAUAUCUGGAAGAACACCAGUUGCGAAGGCGGUCUCUUGGUCCGACACUGACGCUGAGGCGCGAAAGCGUGGGGAGCAAACA
RNAcentral lists this ribosomal RNA (422 nucleotides) under uncultured bacterium. RNAcentral's name for it is "bacterial SSU rRNA". It matches the Rfam family "Bacterial small subunit ribosomal RNA", at positions 355 to 774 of the family's 1533-position model. The record is from RNAcentral.